AGGGCGGGAAGAAAGGAGGGCG
Molecule: microRNA, 22 nt
Filed under: Bos taurus (domestic cattle)
Lineage: Eukaryota; Metazoa; Chordata; Mammalia; Artiodactyla; Bovidae
Description: Bta-Mir-483-v2_5p* (star (passenger))
Source: RNAcentral